GCUGCUUGAGUUUCCUCUG
Molecule: unclassified non-coding RNA, 19 nt
Filed under: Mus musculus (house mouse)
Lineage: Eukaryota; Metazoa; Chordata; Mammalia; Rodentia; Muridae
Description: oocyte_clustered_small_RNA8714
Source: RNAcentral